GCUUCAGGCUCGACACCUCGGUCAUUAGCUCCAGCUUCUGGGUCUCGAGCGCGGUCCGGUUUAACAGCUCCUGAGGAUCAGCACUAACAGCCAAAUGUCCCUACAACAAGGGUUGGUUGCGGACAGGUGAGGCCAAGCUGACCAAAGGCUGUAAACCUGGCAGCGCGACUCAACGUAGUGGGACCGAAAUACGAAGCUAAUAGUCCGCGCCGUGGUGCACAGCUGGCUGGGCUGUGAAGGCAACCAGCUCCAACUCGCCUCUGGCUGCCGGCUCUGGUUCACCGCAGCGGUGACAGAAAAAUCAUGCAGCAGAUUUUUCAGGUACAAAAACCCCUUCCUUACAUGUGGAAGCAUUUAGAAAUGAAAUAAACUUGUGCAAAAUGACA
Molecule: long non-coding RNA, 386 nt
Organism: Fundulus heteroclitus (mummichog)
Lineage: Eukaryota; Metazoa; Chordata; Actinopteri; Cyprinodontiformes; Fundulidae
Exons: 2
Source: RefSeq, a predicted model, not a curated record